GAGGGGCCCGCGCCCGAUUAGCUUGUUGGUAGGGUAACGGCCUACCAAGGCUUUGAUCGGUAGCCGGUCUGAGAGGAUGGCCGGCCACACUGGAACUGAGACACGGUCCAGACUCCUACGGGAGGCAGCAGUGGGGAAUCUUGCGCAAUGGGCGAAAGCCUGACGCAGCGACGCCGCGUGGGGGAUGAAGCCUUUCGGGGUGUAAACCCCUUUCGACCCGGACGAAUGGCCCGCAAGGGAAUUGACGGUACGGGUAGAAGAAGCCCCGGCUAACUACGUGCCAGCAGCCGCGGUAAGACGUAGGGGGCCAGCGUUGCUCGGAAUUACUGGGCGUAAAGGGUCCGUAGGCGGUGCGGCAAGUCGGGGGUGAAAUCUCUGGGCUUAACUCAGAGGCUGCCUCCGAAACUGCCGUGCUCGAGUGCGGGAGAGGCGAGCGGAAUUGCAGGUGUAGCGGUGAAAUGCGUAGAUAUCUGCAGG
Molecule: ribosomal RNA, 477 nt
Filed under: uncultured Acidobacteriota bacterium
Lineage: Bacteria; Pseudomonadati; Acidobacteriota
Description: bacterial SSU rRNA
Rfam family: Bacterial small subunit ribosomal RNA
Source: RNAcentral